This 207-nucleotide ribosomal RNA is filed under the name uncultured bacterium. Its description in RNAcentral is "partial 16S ribosomal RNA". It matches the Rfam family "Bacterial small subunit ribosomal RNA", at positions 568 to 773 of the family's 1533-position model. The record is from RNAcentral.
UGUGUAGGCGGUCGCGCAAGUCUGAUGUGAAAUCUUCGCCGCUCAACGGGAAGAGGUCAUUGGAAACUGCGUGACUUGAGUAUGGUAGAGGCAGGCGGAAUUCCUGGUGUAGCGGUGGAAUGUGUAGAUAUCAGGAAGAACACCGGUGGCGAAGGCGGCCUGCUGGGCCAUCACUGACGCUGAGGCACGAAAGCGUGGGGAGCAAAC